Molecule: ribosomal RNA, 492 nt
Filed under: uncultured bacterium
Lineage: Bacteria
Description: partial 16S ribosomal RNA
Rfam family: Bacterial small subunit ribosomal RNA
Source: RNAcentral
AUUGAACGCUGGCGGCAUGCUUUACACAUGCAAGUCGAACGGUAACAGGCCUUCGGGUGCUGACGAGUGGCGAACGGGUGAGUAAUGCAUCGGAACGUACCCAGAGGUGGGGGAUAACGCAGCGAAAGCUGUGCUAAUACCGCAUGUGAUCUGAGGAUGAAAGCGGGGGACCGAGCAGCAAUGUUUGGCCUCGCGCCUUUGGAGCGGCCGAUGUCGGAUUAGCUAGUUGGUGGGGUAAAGGCCUACCAAGGCGACGAUCCGUAGCUGGUCUGAGAGGACGACCAGCCACACUGGGACUGAGACACGGCCCAGACUCCUACGGGAGGCAGCAGUGGGGAAUUUUGGACAAAGGGCGCAAGCCUGAUCCAGCAACGCCGCGUGCGGGAAGAAGGCCUUCGGGUUGUAAACCGCUUUUGGCAGGAACGAAACGGUGUCCGCUAAUACCGGGCGCUAAUGACGGUACCUGCAGAAUAAGCACCGGCUAACUACGUG